GCUGGCGGCGUGCUUAACACAUGCAAGUCGAGCGAGGCCUGGGGGGCAACUCCCAGAGUCGAGCGGCGGACGGGUGAGUAACACGUGGGUAACCUGCCCGGAAGUGGGGAAUACCUCGGGGAAACUCGAGCUAAUACCGCAUGACAUCUUCGGGACGAAAGUCCUGACGAUCAAAGCGGGGUCGCAAGAUCUCGCGCUACCGGAUGGGCCCGCGCCCGAUUAGCUAGUUGGUGAGGUAACGGCUCACCAAGGCUUCGAUCGGUAACCGGCCUGAGAGGGCGAUCGGUCACACCGGAACUGAGACACGGUCCGGACUCCUACGGGAGGCAGCAGUGGGGAAUCUUGCGCAAUGGGCGAAAGCCUGACGCAGCAACGCCGCGUGGAGGAUGAAGGCCCUUGGGUUGUAAACUCCUGUCGGCUGGGAAGAAACCGUACGGUGCUCAUACCAUCGUGCGUUGACUGUACCAGCAA
RNAcentral lists this ribosomal RNA (471 nucleotides) under uncultured soil bacterium. RNAcentral's name for it is "bacterial SSU rRNA". It matches the Rfam family "Bacterial small subunit ribosomal RNA", at positions 35 to 484 of the family's 1533-position model. The record is from RNAcentral.